This 259-nucleotide long non-coding RNA is filed under the name Lathyrus oleraceus (garden pea). RNAcentral's name for it is "Pisum sativum (pea) long non-coding RNA (PSAT_LNC016947)". The record is from RNAcentral. Lineage: Eukaryota; Viridiplantae; Streptophyta; Magnoliopsida; Fabales; Fabaceae.
UAUUUGAAAAAUACAUGCGUGAUUGAUGGAUGAAUCCUAAUCCCAUUAAGCUUUCUCAUAUUUGAAACUCUACUUAUUAUUUGCCAUUUUUACAUUAUAUACUUUAUGCAAACAAAUAAUUUGACAACUUCUCACUUAAACCUUAUCAACUAUUGAACGACAUUUAAUAUUGCAUAAGUCCGUCUGGAUAUGAUAUAAAAAAUACUUACUUUUGAUGUUGAACACUACAACCAUCAGGGAUCUAGGGCUUGGUUGCUAC